AUUGAACGCUGGCGGCAUGCCUUACACAUGCAAGUCGAACGGCAGCACGGGUGCUUGCACCUGGUGGCGAGUGGCGAACGGGUGAGUAAUACAUCGGAACAUGUCCUGUAGUGGGGGAUAGCCCGGCGAAAGCCGGAUUAAUACCGCAUACGAUCUACGGGUGAAAGCGGGGGACCUUCUGGCCUCGCGCUAUAGGGUUGGCCGAUGGCUGAUUAGCUAGUUGGUGGGGUAAAGGCCUACCAAGGCGACGAUCAGUAGCUGGUCUGAGAGGACGACCAGCCACACUGGGACUGAGACACGGCCCAGACUCCUACGGGAGGCAGCAGUGGGGAAUUUUGGACAAAGGGCGAAAGCCUGAUCCAGCAAUGCCGCGUGUGUGAAGAAGGCCUUCGGGUUGUAAAGCACUUUUGUCCGGAAAGAAAUCCUUGGCCCUAAUACGGUCGGGGGAUGACGGUACCGGAAGAAUAAGCACCGGCUAACUACGUG
RNAcentral lists this ribosomal RNA (486 nucleotides) under uncultured bacterium. RNAcentral describes it as "partial 16S ribosomal RNA". It matches the Rfam family "Bacterial small subunit ribosomal RNA", at positions 30 to 507 of the family's 1533-position model. The record is from RNAcentral.